Long non-coding RNA from Aegilops tauschii subsp. strangulata, 1463 nucleotides. RefSeq lists it as uncharacterized. The record is from RefSeq and is a predicted model, not a curated record. Lineage: Eukaryota; Viridiplantae; Streptophyta; Magnoliopsida; Poales; Poaceae.
AUGAUUUGAUGUGGCAUACAAAAAUAUAUAAGAGGGUACAAAUCGAUUUGGGGUAGGGGUAUAAAACUGACUUGGACUAGAAGUCGUAUAGCAUAAUGACUACUCUAACACAAAGGAAGGAGACGUGGUGUCUUCGCUGGUACAGGGAGGCCCGUAUGAGCAGUUGAACCGGGAAGGGCCACCUCAAAAGAAAAACAGGAGUAGGAAGUAGUGGCGGCAGAAAAAAACAAAGAUUCUACUGGGCAAAGUCAAACAAAAAAAAUACCUGCACCGACCAACCAACGUAUCUCGUGAGUCCUCGAAUCCCGGGUUCAGAGGUUUCCUGGGCUUUCUUGUCGGGAUCCACUUGUAGGUAGUCAGGCUGACUGGGGAGGCCGGCCCGUGCUCGGAUUCACGAGGAGGCUUGAAAAGAUAUGCCCAGCCGUACACGAGGUUGGGCAUUUGCUCUGGUGCUAGAAGCCCAGAUAGCAGCUGGAGAUCGACGAACUCCGAUCCCUCCUAGUGCGGCGGCACACAGCAGAUCUAAGGAAUCUUUUUUUUACGCUGGCAUUUUUUGGCAGCAGGAUGGAUGGUAAUUACCUGCUGCCCACUGCUCUGAAUGGCUGGAACACUAGCGACGUCGACGGAAGCAGGGACGAUGGCUCCUGCAAACACGCUUUCAGUCGGAACAGCGCUAACGUGGUUGCUUGCCCUGCUUGCACGACGAUCUCCAGACGGACCCAGCCCCUUGUUACAAUGAAACCCGAACUGCGUUGCUGGUUGUAGAGAAGGGGGAGGCGAAGGCUAAGGGGAGAAAUGUUAUGACUGAAAAUCCUUAGAAGCAAAAACAAUAAAGCCGGGCAGCCACCUCUUGGACGCUGGCCUUGAUGCCUUUGAUGCUUUCUGAACUGUGGAUGUUUGGUUGUAGCUUGAGGUUUCAUGCAUCUGGUUGACUCGACUUGGGGCCUGACAAUGUACCUCCUUCCAACCACAGGACCAAUGGAGAUGCUGCCUGCCUCCUCACAUUAAUGGAGGCUGCUACUAGACUGUUAUCUUUGCUACGGCCAUCCGAUCAGUGCCGCGAUGCGGGCGAACACACGUGGCGUUGACAUCGGGAGGUCUCUCUGGAACAUAGGAGACGGAGACGCCAGCCGGGGAGGCGGCGAGCGAAUCCUUUCGCCGGCGGCUGCAGUGGAGGUUGCCCGGAGCUGGCGACGGCGCCAUCCCGUCCCAGAGCUCGAGUGGAGACACUCAUGGCGGCUUGAUCUGUAAGUGCUCCAUCUGUAGCUAGCUAGCUAGGGUUCCUGCAACGAAAGGAUUUCGUCCACCAUUAGGUUGUGAGUGUUCAGGACCAAGAUGGAGUCUGCAUUUUUUUAAUCUGACAUCCACUUGAUGUGCCACUUCCUAGUUCAGACAUACGAAGACAAAAGCUUCCCGAUCUCUCUGUGCAUACACUCACUUUUAUACAGGAUUAAGUUCAGGUA